Molecule: ribosomal RNA, 282 nt
Filed under: uncultured bacterium
Lineage: Bacteria
Description: partial 16S ribosomal RNA
Rfam family: Bacterial small subunit ribosomal RNA
Source: RNAcentral
AACAUACCCUUUGGUACGGAAUAGCCUCGGGAAACUGGGAGUAAUACCGUAUGUGCCCUUUGACUGUGGUGGUUGAAGGGGAAAGAUUUAUCGCCAAAGGAUUGGCCCGCGUUGGAUUAGGUAGUUGGUGGGGUAAUGGCCUACCAAGCCUACGAUCCAUAGCUGGUUUGAGAGGAUGAUCAGCCACACUGGGACUGAGACACGGCCCAGACUCCUACGGGAGGCAGCAGUGGGGAGUCUUAGACAAUGGGGGAAACCCUGAUCUAGCCAUGCCGCGUGAUC